This 488-nucleotide ribosomal RNA is filed under the name uncultured bacterium. Its description in RNAcentral is "partial 16S ribosomal RNA". It matches the Rfam family "Bacterial small subunit ribosomal RNA", at positions 28 to 507 of the family's 1533-position model. The record is from RNAcentral.
GACGAACGCUGGCGGCGUGCUUAACACAUGCAAGUCGAACGGAAAGGCCCUGCGUUUGUUGGGUUCUCGUUUGGCGAACGGGGGAGUAACACGUGAGUAACCUGCCCUUGACUGUGGGAUAACUUCAGGAGACAGGGGCGAAUAUCGGAGAGGAGAUCUUGCUCCAUGGGGGUGGUUGGAAAGUGUCGGCUGUGGUGGAUGGACUCGCGGCUUAGCAGCGAGUUGGGAGGGUAGUGGCUUACCAAGGUUACGAUGGGGAGCCGGCCUGCGAGGGUGAUCGGCCACACUGGAACUGAGACACGGUCCAGACUCCUACGGGAGGCAGCAGUAGGGAAUCGUCCGCAAUGGGCGAACGCCUGACGGAGCAACGCCGCGUGAGUGAUGAAGGUCUUCGGAUCGUAAAACUCUGUUAUUAGGGAAGAACAAAUGUGUAAGUAACUAUGCACGUCUUGACGGUACCUAAUCAGAAAGCCACGGCUAACUACGUG